UCCCGUGUGGCUCAUUUGGUAGAGCAUGGUGUUUGCAACGCCAGGGUUGUGGGUUCGUUUUCCACGGGGGAA
RNAcentral lists this transfer RNA (72 nucleotides) under Salmo salar (Atlantic salmon). It matches the Rfam family "tRNA". Rfam says of the family: Transfer RNA (tRNA) molecules are approximately 80 nucleotides in length. Their secondary structure includes four short double-helical elements and three loops (D, anti-codon, and T loops). Further hydrogen bonds mediate the characteristic L-shaped molecular structure. tRNAs have two regions of fundamental functional importance: the anti-codon, which is responsible for specific mRNA codon recognition, and the 3' end, to which the tRNAs corresponding amino acid is attached (by aminoacyl-tRNA synthetases). tRNAs cope with the degeneracy of the genetic code in two manners: having more than one tRNA (with a specific anti-codon) for a particular amino acid; and 'wobble' base-pairing, i.e. permitting non-standard base-pairing at the 3rd anti-codon position. Lineage: Eukaryota; Metazoa; Chordata; Actinopteri; Salmoniformes; Salmonidae. The record is from Rfam by way of RNAcentral.